Molecule: long non-coding RNA, 5831 nt
Organism: Tympanuchus pallidicinctus (lesser prairie-chicken)
Lineage: Eukaryota; Metazoa; Chordata; Aves; Galliformes; Phasianidae
Exons: 2
Source: RefSeq, a predicted model, not a curated record
AGAAAAGGCCGAGCAGCGCCCCGCCGCGGCGAAAUAAAGGGAGGAGCGGCGCAUGCGCAGGAGGGACGGGAAGCCGGGCGUUGCGCCUCGCCCUCACGCUGCCCGCAAGGCACGUGACGCUGGCAGGCGGGGCGGCGCUGCCUUCCCCGCACCGGUUAAAAGGCGCAGCGCCCAUAGCGCCGUCGUUUUUGGUCUUUGUGAGGAUGAGGUGCGGUGUCGUGUGCGAUCCCCCGCGCUGUGCCUCCCCAUGACUACAGCCGUGGUUGGUGAAGGCGCGUGUUGUCUCCAUGAGACCGCUUUGGGCAUCCUGCCGUACUGCCCCUUGCGCGGAACUUGGGAAACGGCAAUCCGUAGCCUGCGCGGAACAAAAUAGUGGAGCCCGCAGGGAAUUCUUGUGCAAAAGAUGCACCGCGCUCAAAUUCAAAAUCUGUGAAGUGUCAAAUCUGCUCGCAGGGUGCUGCUGCUCCAGACGGCGACUGGCGGAUUUUCCCAAGCGCCUGCCCAAACGCGGCAGGAAGGAGUCGCGUCCCUUCCCGACCUGUCCGCUCACAUCAGGAAAAGGCAUUACGAACUGUAACGCCUGUUACCGGCGCUCCGAGGAUGGCUUCGCUUGUAAUGGAUAAGCCAGGAAAGCUGUUCAGAUAAACUGCAGCAGGCUUAUGAUCUCAGGAGAGCUUUUAUUUUAAGUGUCUUGUUAAAGCCUGUUUUGUUUUGUUUUGCCAGAAGUGUUUCCCUAGCUUCAGCAAAAUAUUUUCCAGAGCUUCAAUCCCCGUUUUCUAAAUGCAACUAAAUGGCAGGGAUCCAAGUUGCAAAACCAGUGAUAUCUGCAUCAUUUUGCUUACUGAAGACAGGCUGAAAUCCAGCCGAGAUUAUUCUGUCUGCUAUGGGGCUAAACUACUGCAAGGAGAACGGGCUAAACGAAACAGGAUAGGUAGACAGAUAGCUGCACCGAGAAACAGCAGACCUUUCAAAAAGAGGUAGGAAGUGACUGAUGCUGCUGCAAAGGCACACCACAGCAGCCGGAUGAGCCUUACAAAGCAGCUCAGAAGAGCUGUGAGCGAACAAGCAUGAAUGUCAGUCCUGCCGCCCCUGAAUGGCCAUUGGUCACAGGAAUGCUGAAAGGAAAUAUGAGACAUGCACUCAGCGUGGUGAGGGACUUUACCAAAUAGAGCCAGCUGUCUGGAGAACAUCACUAGCAGAAGCUGGCAUGCACUGAUUUCUUGCUUGUGGAAGUAGACGUCUGGAAUUAAGUUUGUUAUGAAAUGUGGUUCAGCUGGGAAAGAUGUUGAAAUGAGGCAUCCUGUAUAUUGCUGUAUACUAUAAGAACCCAGGAGAAAGGAGGCGUUGGCUCAAGAUGUAGCAUAAGGUAGUCAUGAAAAGGAAUUUUUGCACUUUUAUUCACAUUGACUGCCAAGAUGAAGGAGCUGAUUCCACCAACUUCUUAAGUUCUCUUCUGAGGAAUGCUUAUGGCAACACUUGUUACUCCACCUGACAACAUCUAUUAGGCAGCAGAAUGUAUUUCUUCUGGUCUCCACCAAAUCUUUGGUGUUACAGCACUAUAGUAAGACAGUUAUGUUCUAUGGGCCCCAUAAGAUCAUUAGAUGACCCAGAGAGCAAUCUGUACUUGUACACAACUAUCCUAUCCUCUGAAUGUGCCAGACAGAAUAAUCAAGUAUGAAAAAAUGAUUAGCUUCUGGUGGACCUAGAUGUUAGAACUGGUAUGUAUAUAUGACAUGUAGUGUUGGAAAGCGGGUUUUUAAGACCCUGUAAAAGGGAGAAGAAAUAAUGGACCUGAUUUAAGAGCCAGGGGGGUAUGUGCUAGGAUAGGAAAUUCUUGGCUGUGAGAGUAGGGGGGGAUUAGAUCUGUGGUCAAAAGUCUCAGUAGAAAGGAGUUCAUUACUACCAUCUCACAAGAAAAGAAUAGCAAAAAGCUUUAUGAAACCUCAAAGAACUGAUGUUCUACCAAGGCCAGACAGCCUCUGCCACCAUCCAAAACUGAGCCAGAAACCAAAUAACCCAGAUGUAUUUGCAGAUGUGCAAGUAAUUAUUCUAGGGCAACCAUGUUGAUCACAGCUUUUGGGUAUAAAACUAAAAAAAUAUUAUCUGAUGAUGUGAUUCGUGGAGCCUGAUUUUCUGUGAAAGGAUCUGAUCAGAUAGUAUUUAAUCUUAAGAGGUAUUUAAAAUUGAUUUAUCACAAACAGAUUGAUUUGAUUCUGCAAGAUGCUCUGGGCUGUGCUUACAUCUAAGAUACAGGUCACUGUGUGACAUGGCAUUUUGAAACUUUAUUAGCAUUUAAAUAAAAAGUGGAGGUAAUAUCAGUGAUACCAUAUUGCUGAGCAUCAUGCUCACCAACACAAGAGUGUCUUAGUUUUCGUAAGUUUGUUUUUAAACCAAAAUGCCUCAAGGCUUGCACGCAUCAUCACAACCUCUGUAGUGGAGAUAGCUAUCUACUAGGUGGGUAUUAUGACUGAAAUGGGUAUUAAGAGAGAAAAAGGUUUCUAAGUGCUGAGCUCAGAGAUGAUGAGUGUAAGUAGCUCCAAUUUCUCUCCUUGCUCAGAUAUGGGGAUGCUGAAGAUGAGAGCUUUAUAUCUGCAAUACCCUGGUAAAACAACUCAUUCAAUUGGAUGUAUAAAUAUUUAUUUGUAUGUGUCUUGUGUGCUCUUCAGUGAAAAAUACAGCUACAAAAAUGUCACAAACAAGCAUACUGAUAGCAAGUGCAUUCCUGUUUCCCUAGUUUUUGCCAGACUUCUAUGAUGGUCAGCGCAUCAAUGGACAAUGGAAGAGCCACUGAUGUCACCUGUCAAAAGUUCAGUAAGGCCUUUGACACUAUCCUGCAUAACAUCCUUCUCUCUAAAUUGGAAAUACAGGUAUUUGGUGGGUGGACUGUUCAAUGGAUGAGGAAUUGGUUGCAAAUUCUUAUCAGUAGUGGUCAGUGGAGAUCAGUGACAAAUGGUGUCCAUCAGGGGUCUGUACUGAGACUGAUUCUCUUUAAUCUUUUGAGUUGGAAGGGACUCUUAAAGAUCACCUAGUCCAACUCCCCUGCAAUGAAAAGUGACAUCUGCAGCUAGGUCAGAUUGCUCACAGCCUGCUCCAGCCUGACCUUGACCGUCUCCAAUGACAGAGCAUCCACCACAUCUCUGGGCAGCCACUUCCACUGCCUUUUUUACAAUAAAGCAUUGGAACAGGUUGGCCAGAGAGGUGGUGGAUGCCCUGCCCCAUCCCUGCAUACACUCAAGGUCAGGCUGGGCUGAGCUCUGAGCAACUUGAUGUAGCAUUAGAAAUCCUUGUCCGUUGCUGGGGAGUUGGACUAGAUGACCUUUAAAGGUCCCUUCCAACUCAAACAACUCUGUGAUUCUAUAACUGGGAAAAAACAGUGUCAAAUAAAAGCUAAGAAAACAUUUUCAAGUCUACUUGAGCCUUUCUAAGCAAUUAUUAUCUGUAUUUAAGCCAUUGUAAAAUCUUAAAUUCUCCAGUUUUUUCCCCUCACAAUCUCUGCUUUUAAAGCCUUUACUCUUCCUAUUUCCUUCCCCCUUUUUACUCAGUGGUGUUUGAACAGUAUGCAGUAUCACAGCUUUACAAGAACACUGUAAAAGUAAGCCCAUCUCCAGACAGGGAAACAGUCUCAGUAGAUGCACAGCAGGAUAAACAGUCUUCCAGACAUAGCACUUCCAAGUGCAAACAUGGAGCAGAAAACUAGGAGAUAAAUGGAACUCUCAGAACUUGGUGUCCUCCAUAAAGCAUAGUCAGGAAAUACAGAGAUGGCAUGCUAAAAUGCAGCUGCUUUUAUUACCUGGUUCACAUAGUUGCUUAAAGCAGCAAGUCAGGAUGCAAAGAGAGGAAUAUAUAUUGUUGUUAUCAAAUAUCUCAGUGUAUCUGCAUCUGAAAAGCAAGAGAGUGCCUUGUACCAGUAAUGACAUUGUUUGAUGAUAAGUUUUGGAUAGUUUGUAAUAAUUUGAGUCAUUCUGCAAUGCACUUACCAUACAAAAAUGGCAAAGGAAAAGGUCAAUUACUUUAAUACAAAUACUGCAAGCCUACAAAUUAAGCUGAACAGAUGAAAACAAGGUAGAGGGGGAAGAAAAAUGAAGAAAAAAGAGGAGGUUAAAAAAAAAAAGAGAGAGAGAAAGAAAAGAGAAAUCAGAGAUCUCAAAUAUGGCUUUUUCUACCUUUAUGUUCCAAAAAUACUGAUAUUUAAGUUGAUUACUUUUUAUCUUAAUUUGUAUUUUUUUCUGAUGAGUAAUGGUUUAUAAAUAUUUUGAAUUAGACUUCAGUGAUAGUUCUUGUUUCUGCAUGUAACUGCUUUUGCACUGAGGAGGAAGGAGAAUGCUUGGAAUAUACUGCAAGAUGACAAACAAAAUGGCAGAAGGAAGCAAGUGCAGUUGAUACCAGUAAGAUGCUUGUCUUCUGGUACUGUAUUUCCCCAUUGGACACAGCUACCAUAUGGAACCUUUUACAUCUUUAUCUUUUCACCAGUAGCAUCUCUGAAUGAAUAUUUCUCACUGCCACUAUUCCUUAAGCUUGAUCAGCUUACAUGCCCCAUGGUAACUGUUGAGGGUUACUGAUGGGUCAUUCAUCCAUCAGAAUUAGCUGCCAGCUAUUCCAGGCAUGCAGAUAGAUGGAAGGGAGAUACCAGAUGAGAUGUGACAGCUUUCUGCUUCUGCAGUGAGAAUAGAUGAGAGCUGGAGAAAAUGCUGAUGGUAAGUGGGGGGAGCAAGGAUGUAAACGUAGGGGCAAAAUGUUCAAAAGUCAUCCUUCCUUGAUCACUUUUUCCAGUUCCUGUUUACCUUCCCCUCUCCCCCUCACAGUAUUUUAUUCCUGUUUUGCAUGGCUGCUAUCAGCAGAAAUGCUGCAGUGUCACUAGGGUGAGGAUUGAAUCUUCAUAUGGAUUUUACUUUCUAUUAGUUUCUCAGAAUCACAGAAUUGUAGGUGUUGGAAGGAAGAUCUGAUCUCUGGAGAUUAAUUAGUUCAAUCCCCUCUGUUAAAGCAGAUUCCAUUUCCGUGCAUUUAUCCACCAAUCUGCAGUUCAGUAAGGAGAGAAAAUAUUACUCCUUACUUUAGUUUGGUGAAGUGCUUCAACUGCUCCUCAUUUUCCCAAGGUAUAACACAGAUAAUGUGGAUUGACAUCAAGGCAUGUUCAUGACUUUCUGUAUAUUCUGAGCAGGAGGAUCAGCUUCUCUGCUUCAUGAUACAGAAACUGGGGAGCCACGCUGUGUGUCCAGAGUGAGUGCCUGAGGUCCUGCUGGUAAGGCACAACAUUCCACUGCCCUCCUUUUUUUCAACUAAAGGCAGGAAGAAAUGUCAAGGAGACUGGCAAGAAUAUCUGUCUUCUCAGCAAUGUCCCCAGCAUACAUCUUGCUUUGCCUGACCGGGGCAUGCUAUCACCAGCAUGUCUAAUUCCAUUGUGUGUCGCAAGAGCCGGAGAUGAGGGGAAGAGAGAGCAGGGGAAAUGAAGCAAUUAUUUGUCUUUCAGUGUUGGAAGUGUCAAGAGAAAGACAAAGUGUUUGAUUCUACAGCAUUUGAAGUCUAAGACAUGCUUACCCUGGAGGUUUUUAAUACCAAAUUUACUUGUGGUAGGUUUCCAAUUUUUACUGAGCACUUUUUAAAAUUAAAAUUUGGAAAUGAAACAAAAUUUGUUUUCAGUCUUAAGUCAUUACCACAUCAAACAGCCUGAGAGAGAGGUAAAAAAAAACAUCUACUAUACAAUGAAACCAACAGUUAUAUUCAAGGUUAAUAACCUAUUAUAUUUUACUUACAUUAUGAAAAAAAAAAACAAAAUAAAUUGCAAACUAAUUGAUAAAUUGAUGAUGUUGAUUAAAAAAAAAAAAAAAAAAGAA